UACGGAGGGGACUAGCGUUGUUCGGAAUUACUGGGCGUAAAGGGCGCGUAGGCGGCCUGCUAAGUCGAACGUGAAAUCCCCGGGCUCAACCCGGGAACUGCGUCCGAUACUGGUUGGCUUGAAUUCGGGAGAGGGAUGUGGAAUUCCAGGUGUAGCGGUGAAAUGCGUAGAUAUCUGGAGGAACACCGGUGGCGAAGGCGGCAUCCUGGACCGGUAUUGACGCUGAGGCGCGAAAGCCAGGGGAGCAAACGGG
This 253-nucleotide ribosomal RNA is filed under the name uncultured bacterium. Its description in RNAcentral is "partial 16S ribosomal RNA". It matches the Rfam family "Bacterial small subunit ribosomal RNA", at positions 524 to 776 of the family's 1533-position model. The record is from RNAcentral.